RNAcentral lists this ribosomal RNA (360 nucleotides) under uncultured bacterium. RNAcentral describes it as "bacterial SSU rRNA". It matches the Rfam family "Bacterial small subunit ribosomal RNA", at positions 8 to 353 of the family's 1533-position model. The record is from RNAcentral.
AGAGUUUGAUCAUGGCUCAGGAUGAACGCUAGCUACAGGCUUAACACAUGCAAGUCGAGGGGAAACGAUAUUGGAAGCUUGCUUUCGAUAGGCGUCGACCGGCGCACGGGUGAGUAACGCGUAUCCAACCUGCCCACCACUUGGGGAUAACCUUGCGAAAGUAAGACUAAUACCCAAUGAUAUCUCUAGAAGACAUCUGAAAGAGAUUAAAGAUUUAUCGGUGAUGGAUGGGGAUGCGUCUGAUCAGCUUGUUGGCGGGGUAACCGGCCCACCAAGGCAACGAUCAGGUAGGGGUUCUGAGAGGAACGGUCCCCCACAUUGGAACUGAGACACGGUACCAAACUCCUACGGGUGGCAGCA